GCCAGGUGCGGUGGCACGUGCCUGUAGUCCCAGCUAUUCGGGAGACUGAGGCUGGAGGAUCUCUUGAGCCCAGAAGUUCUGGGCUGUAGUGCGCUAUGCUGAUCAGGUGUCCACACUAAGUUCGACAUCAACAUGGUGACCCCCUGGGAGCGAGGGACCACCAGGUUGCCUAAGGAGGGGAGAACCAGCCCAGGUCAGAAACGGAGCAGGUCAAAACUCCCGUGCGGAUCAGUAGUGGCAUCACACCUGUGAAUAGCCACUGCUCUCCAGCCUGGGCAACAUAGCGAGUCCCCGUCUCUA
This is an unclassified non-coding RNA of Callithrix jacchus (white-tufted-ear marmoset), 300 nucleotides long. It matches the Rfam family "Metazoan signal recognition particle RNA". Rfam says of the family: The signal recognition particle (SRP) is a universally conserved ribonucleoprotein. It is involved in the co-translational targeting of proteins to membranes. The record is from Ensembl. NCBI's taxonomy places the organism in Eukaryota, Metazoa, Chordata, Mammalia, Primates, Cebidae.